RNAcentral lists this long non-coding RNA (1540 nucleotides) under Fragaria vesca (wild strawberry). RNAcentral's name for it is "long non-coding RNA (FVES_LNC000512)". Lineage: Eukaryota; Viridiplantae; Streptophyta; Magnoliopsida; Rosales; Rosaceae. The record is from RNAcentral.
GUCCUUCCUUUAGAACUACUUCAACUUGAUCGACAAGAAAGGGGGGAUGGCUAUUCUGCUGAUGAUUUGCGAGGGGCUGAGUGGCUUUGUUUCGACGAUUUGGGAUCUACAAGAGAUGCGUUAUGCUGCCAUUUUUGAUGAUGUUACCUUUCUUGCACUCACAGUUGUCAUGGCUGCAUUAUCCUGCAUCAUUGCUACCAGGAGAUCAUGAAUGUUGCAAAUUCUAUUGUACUUGGUUUGUUCUAAGGUUGGCUCCUUUUGUGUAUAUGAUAUAUAUAGUACCUUCCUAUGCUGUUUACAUUAAUAUUCAAGGAUCAAUAGAAUUAUAAAAAUGGCAUAUUGACAUGGAUCAUUCUCAGAACAAAAAUUGUGCCUUCAAAAUCUUAGACCAUUUAUUUUCUUCUUAUUAUUAUUGACAUAAUGACAUUAUAUAUUGUAGUGCAUCAAGUAUCAAUCUGAACUUGAACAAUUGACUGUGGUUCAUCUUUUGUAACCUUAAAGCUUAGAGUAGCUGAGGAACUGGCGAAAUUGUCUUCAGCUGUAACCUCAUAAUCUCCAUGAAACAAAGAAACAUCUAUAUAUCCUUGAUCAUCAGUUGCUAGUUCCAGAGACCCAGUUUUCCACUCCGCAAUCAGCUUGUCCACAACAUCUCCUGAUGGAGUGUUGUUGAAAUUCUUAUCUACAAGAGUGGUUUCAUUAAAACCAGCUGUGAUUGGACCUACGAACAUGAUGAUACCUUGGACCGCAGGAUGCGAAUAAGCCUCCCUUAGUACCUCUUCCAAAUACUGGGCCUGCACACAAACACAAAGUGUUACCAGCAAUGUCUGCAGAAGCGGAUUCAGCGCUAACAUAAAGUUUUGUGGUAGCCAUUGGACUAGUUGUGAAAUGGUCUAAUCGAUAAUUAACCUUAUAGCCCUCAUUUUCAUGUCCAGAAUAGGUUUAUUUUUCUACGUCUAAUUAUUGUCUAACAUGGUAUCAGAGUCCUAGUUGCACGGUUCCUGCAACCGAGCCGAAGCUUAACCUAUAUACAUGCUAGAUUCUCUAUCUCUAGUAGUUUAACUUCUCAAGUAGUGAUUAUCAGGUUGCUUUACAUAUUGUAGUAUUGCUUGCAACAAUUUAUUGGAAAUACCUGAUUUGGUCCUAUUCCCACACUCACUUCUGUAAGCCAUAUUGGAUAUCCAGUUGCACCUAAAAAGUCUAAAACAGAUCUCAUGUAAGCAAGAUUUGGCUGACCAGAACCAAAGUGACCUUGCAAACCUAUUCCUGCUGUCAGAUUAGGAUUUCCGGGAUAUGACAAGAUUUCUUCAAGUUUCUUCUUGUAGUUGGCUGGACUUGAUGCCUCGUCGCUACUAUAUUCCAUGGUAUUAUACUCAUUCAUGAACAUCAUUGUGCCAGGAUCAAGCUGCUGAGCUGUGUAGUAGAAGGCUGCAGAAGCGUUUUCGCCGAGUUUAUCCUCAAAGAAUCUGAAGUGAAGAUUCUCAUUCAUUACAUCCCAAGCAAUUAGUUGUCCUUUGUAUCUAGCAACCACUGAAUUGAUUCU